UACAGAGGUCUCAAGCGUUGUUCGGAAUCACUGGGCUUAAAGCGUGUGUAGGCGGAUCGGUAAGUACCUUGUGAAAUCCCACAGCUUAACUGUGGAACUGCUUGGUAUACUGCCAGUCUUGAGCCAGCUAGGGGCUACCGGAACAAAUGGUGGAGCGGUGAAAUGCGUAGAUAUCAUUUGGAACGCCAAUGGUGAAAACAGGUAGCUGGGGCUGUGCUGACGCUGAGACACGAAGCCAGGGGAGCAAACGGG
RNAcentral lists this ribosomal RNA (252 nucleotides) under uncultured bacterium. RNAcentral describes it as "partial 16S ribosomal RNA". It matches the Rfam family "Bacterial small subunit ribosomal RNA", at positions 524 to 776 of the family's 1533-position model. The record is from RNAcentral.